RNAcentral lists this small RNA (158 nucleotides) under Macaca fascicularis (crab-eating macaque). Its description in RNAcentral is "Metazoan signal recognition particle RNA (ENSMFAG00000048473.1)". It matches the Rfam family "Metazoan signal recognition particle RNA", at positions 96 to 252 of the family's 299-position model. From Rfam's summary of the family: The signal recognition particle (SRP) is a universally conserved ribonucleoprotein. It is involved in the co-translational targeting of proteins to membranes. The eukaryotic SRP consists of a 300-nucleotide 7S RNA and six proteins: SRPs 72, 68, 54, 19, 14, and 9. Lineage: Eukaryota; Metazoa; Chordata; Mammalia; Primates; Cercopithecidae. The record is from Rfam by way of RNAcentral.
UGCCGACCGGGUGCCUGCACUAAGUUCGGCAUCAAUAUGGUGACCUCCUGGGAGCGGUGGGGCCACCAAGUUGCCUAAGGAUGGCUGAACUGGCCCAGGUCAGAAAUGGAGCAGGUCAGAACUCCCAAACCGACCGGUAGUGGGACUGUGCCUGGGCA